RNAcentral lists this ribosomal RNA (430 nucleotides) under Syllis monilata. Its description in RNAcentral is "bacterial SSU rRNA". It matches the Rfam family "Eukaryotic small subunit ribosomal RNA", at positions 1280 to 1731 of the family's 1831-position model. Lineage: Eukaryota; Metazoa; Annelida; Polychaeta; Phyllodocida; Syllidae. The record is from RNAcentral.
GGUGGGUGGUGGUGCAUGGCCGUUCUUAGUUGGUGGAGCGAUUUGUCUGGUUAAUUCCGAUAACGAACGAGACUCUGGCCUGCUAAAUAGUCCUCCCCCCCGCCAAUGGGAGGGGAGCCGUCGUACUUCUUAAAGGGACUAGCGGCGUUACAGCCGCACGAAAUUGAGCAAUAACAGGUCUGUGAUGCCCUUAGAUGUUCGGGGCCGCACGCCCGCUACACUGAAAGAGGCAGAGGGUCGAGUCCUGGUCUGGCGAGGCUGGGCAACCCGCGUCCAAACUCUAUCGUGCUAGGGACUGGGGCUUGCAAUUGUUCCCCACCAACGAGGAAUUCCCAGUAAGCGCGAGUCAUCAGCUCGUGUUGAUUACGUCCCUGCCCUUUGUACACACCGCCCGUCGCUACUACCGAUUGAAUGGUUUAAUGAGGCCUUY